RNAcentral lists this ribosomal RNA (451 nucleotides) under uncultured bacterium. RNAcentral's name for it is "partial 16S ribosomal RNA". It matches the Rfam family "Bacterial small subunit ribosomal RNA", at positions 29 to 523 of the family's 1533-position model. The record is from RNAcentral.
AAUGAACGCUGGCGGCAUGCCUAACACAUGCAAGUCGAACGAAGGCUUCGGCCUUAGUGGCGCACGGGUGCGUAACGCGUGGGAAUCUGCCCUCAGGUUCGGAAUAACAGCGAGAAAUUGCUGCUAAUACCGGAUGAUAUCGCGAGAUCAAAGAUUUAUCGCCUGAGGAUGAGCCCGCGUAGGAUUAGCUAGUUGGUGUGGUAAAGGCGCACCAAGGCGACGAUCCUUAGCUGGGCUGAGAGGCUGAUCCCCAACGACGGCACUGAGACACGGGCCGUACACCUACGGGUGGCAGCAGCCGAGAAUAUUCGACAAUGGGCGAAAGCCUGAUCGAGCGACGCCGCGUGCAGGAAGAAGGUUUUCGGAUUGUAAACUGCUUUUCUACGGGAAGAACCAAUGACGGUACCGUAGGAAUAAGGAGCUGCAAACUACGUGCCAGCCGCCGCUGUAA